Molecule: non-coding RNA, 109 nt
Filed under: Sporosarcina sp.
Lineage: Bacteria; Bacillati; Bacillota; Bacilli; Caryophanales; Caryophanaceae
Also listed under: 1 other name
Description: TPP sequence
Rfam family: TPP riboswitch aptamer (THI element)
About the family: Vitamin B(1) in its active form thiamin pyrophosphate (TPP) is an essential coenzyme that is synthesised by coupling of pyrimidine and thiazole moieties in bacteria. The previously detected thiamin-regulatory element, thi box was extended, resulting in a new, highly conserved RNA secondary structure, the THI element, which is widely distributed in eubacteria and also occurs in some archaea.
Source: RNAcentral
ACUGACCAUUAGGGGAAUCCUUUUAAAGGACUGAGAGAGGAGUGCGACUCCGAUACCCUUAUUACCUGAACAGGUUUGAACCUGCGGAGGGAAGUGGCGUGUCUUUCAU